ACACUCCUGCGGGAGGCAGCAGUGGGGAAUUUUGGACAAUGGGCGAAAGCCUGAUCCAGCCAUGCCGCGUGCAGGAUGAAGGCCUUCGGGUUGUAAACUGCUUUUGUACGGAACGAAACGGCCUUUUCUAAUAAAGAGGGCUAAUGACGGUACCGUAAGAAUAAGCACCGGCUAACUACGUGCCAGCAGCCGCGGUAAUACGUAGGGUGCAAGCGUUAAUCGGAAUUACUGGGCGUAAAGCGUGCGCAGGCGGUUAUGUAAGACAGUUGUGAAAUCCCCGGGCUCAACCUGGGAACUGCAUCUGUGACUGCAUAGCUAGAGUACGGUAGAGGGGGAUGGAAUUCCGCGUGUAGCAGUGAAAUGCGUAGAUAUGCGGAGGAACACCGAUGGCGAAGGCAAUCCCCUGGACCUGUACUGACGCUCAUGCACGAAAGCGUGGGGAGCAAACAGGAUUAGAUACCCCGGUAGUCCCAUGA
This 476-nucleotide ribosomal RNA is filed under the name uncultured organism. Its description in RNAcentral is "partial 16S ribosomal RNA". It matches the Rfam family "Bacterial small subunit ribosomal RNA", at positions 333 to 800 of the family's 1533-position model. The record is from RNAcentral.